This is a long non-coding RNA of Panicum virgatum (switchgrass), 654 nucleotides long. RefSeq lists it as uncharacterized. The transcript has 2 exons. The record is from RefSeq and is a predicted model, not a curated record. NCBI's taxonomy places the organism in Eukaryota, Viridiplantae, Streptophyta, Magnoliopsida, Poales, Poaceae.
GAGAUACAACCAGUCAUAUGCACUAGAUAGAGAGAGGUUUGAGCUAGAAAAAAGAAGGGUUCAAGCUGAAGAAGCGAGGGCUGCAAAUGAGGCAAAAAAUCUUGAGAUAAAGGAACGUGAAUUGGAACACAAGGAAAAUGAACUACAGCACAAAAGAAUGUUAGAUGAAGAGAGAAUUAUGACAAUGGAGAUUGCUUCCUUACCUACUCUGCAACAGCAGUUCUACAAGAGCCAACAAUAUAAGAUCAUUGCUCGUCAUGUUUAAAAUAGCUCAACUGGACAGACCAGCUCCUUGGAAGAACAUGCUGAAUAUUUCAGUAGCAUUUCAGUUUGGUACAACUCCAAUUGAAGUUGUUGCUCUUCGAGGCACAAGCGAAGAUGUCGAUCUGUCAUCAUUGCCCUGUGUGGAAAUUUUCUUGGUUCUGUAAUUCAGUUGUAGUCAUGUUCCCAGUUUACUAGCUAAUGAACCUCAAGCUUGAGUUCAAAGAGAUCAUGAUACUGGUUUCAUAAUUUACCAGCCUUGGUAGCUGGAUCUGUCUGGACACAGUUGUGGUUUAUGUUUUUUCAUUCUUUUGGACCAUUCCGAAUCUCCCUGUUCAAUAUUACUAGGCUUGCUUGGACACAUUUGUUAAUGCAGCGGAAUUUCAAAUCUUA